GGCAAAAGGCAUGGUUUGAACAAGUGAAGUUUGCCGAAAUUAGUCAGCCAGUACUAGCCUGCAGGCCACAAUUAGCAAUCCCACUCCAGUCUAAUGGAACUGUGAACACAACUGUGCUAUUGAAAAAGAGAGAAAUAUAAUCUGCCUCUUCCGAUGCAAACAGAAGCAAUCCUUUGCAAUCUUUCUGGCCUAACGUUGGCUUGACUUUAUGAGGUUAUAACAUGCUUUAAGUACAACUUUCAGGUUAGCAUCCCCAGUGAAAUAAUAUGUGGAAGAUGCUGUAUUAAUGGGCUUUCGUGCAUUUUCUUUAAGAAAACGGACGCUUAUAAUUCCUCCAGGACUCGGUUUUGUCAAGUUAUUAGCCACUCUCAAGUCAAAAGCUUGAUUGAGGUGAAAACCUGGAAGUGACAUACGCCUAGCGGAAAUUCCUGGAGUGAGAUUGUGGUUUUAAACUAGAAAAAUAAUCCCACGACGGAGACGGACGAGAUUGAAUAUACAAUGAUUUAUGGAUACGAAGAACUGAGCCUGCUAGGUGUCCAAGGGUCCUGGAACAGAUGAGGGGGAGGACAAUUAACGGGGAUCGGCACAAAAUUGAGAUGUGAUCAGAGGAGAAUUUGUGGCGAGUUGGAUGUCUUUGGCAAGCUGUGAGGACGAUCUGCCAUUGGCUCCCUGCUAGCCCCUCCCACUCCCGCCGAACCCCCGGCGCUGUCCCAGAUGGCGCUACCGCCCCAGAACGUUCUGAGUGGAAUGAGUCACGGAAAGACAAGCAGGAGAGGGAACCGAGCAGCGGGAUCAGCGCGCUCCUCUCCCCGGGCCUCCGGAUGAGAGCCGCGCCGCAGGACGGCGGCCUCCGCCCCCGCUCCCGACUCCGAUGCCAAGCGCGGAGGAACGACCGCCGAUCUCGCCG
This is a long non-coding RNA of Anguilla rostrata (American eel), 907 nucleotides long. RefSeq lists it as uncharacterized. The record is from RefSeq and is a predicted model, not a curated record. NCBI's taxonomy places the organism in Eukaryota, Metazoa, Chordata, Actinopteri, Anguilliformes, Anguillidae. The transcript is spliced from 3 exons.